GCCGUCUUAGCUCAGAGGCAGAGCGCCGGUCUCCAAAACCGGAUGCCGCAGGCCCGAACCCUGCAGACGGUGCCA
Molecule: transfer RNA, 75 nt
Filed under: Bacteriophage sp.
Also listed under: 2 other names
Description: tRNA-Trp
Rfam family: tRNA
About the family: Transfer RNA (tRNA) molecules are approximately 80 nucleotides in length.
Source: RNAcentral